UGAAAUAAAAUUAUAACUUGACUCCUUGUGUUGUGUACAAGACAAUAUAUGGGGCCACAAGCUCGCAAGAGAGUUUGGUACCUGCAAGAGUUAAUUAGGAGAAAAGAAAAUCCUAUGUUAUUUAGAAAAAAAUUAGAGCUCAUGCAAUUUAACAAAUAUAAGUGCCUACCAUUACAUGUUUUGGCAUGAAUAAGAUGUCAUAACAUGAGUAAACAAGAAUGAUAUGCGGUUGAUUCUCCUUGUUAUCUGUAAAGAGUAAGAAGAAUUCAUUCAACAUUUCCGCGUUCUAUAGUCAUGUCAGAAAACUGGUGAAGAAUCUGUGUCCUGAAAUCCCCAACACAUAGCCACAAACCUAACUAUAUGCUCAAGAUAAUGGCUGUGUGUUAAUGAAAGUUCCAAUAUAGAUUGGGUUAUUAUUCAGUGGCAUAGAACUAAAGAAUGAGCAUUUUGUUUCGCAGAUUAAGGGCCCUGUCGUACGAUGGUUAAAUCAAUUAACAAAUUGUUUCGUCUCGCACGUACACGGUCCUCGUGAGGUGCAGGUGAGUUUGACUCGCUCUAACUCGUCGCUGACUCGGUCAUUAAGGCCGUUGAGUGAAGAUGAAACGAGGCUGCACACGCCGGUUGUGAUUUCGUGUAACGAAGAUAGAAGAGAGGUUUUAGCUGUUCAGAAUAUCGCCAACAAACAGAUCGAUAGAACCUUCGCAUUUGACAAGGUUUUAUCCAGCUUCAGAUACCUGAAAAGAGAAGAGCGAGAUGGCGUCGGUGGUGAAGAACGAACUCAAAUCCGUCAGAGAAAAGGGUUUCGGCGCUUUCCUCAGAGAGCUCAAGGAUGGAGGCUACCUGAGAUGCCUUCCGGAUGGAAAUCUCUUGUUGCUCUUGUUGUCUUCUCAAGCCGUGGACGCCUCUGAGUAUGCCAACAACAAGUUCAAAUAUUCUUUUACUACUAAUUCAACACCUGUUAGAGGAACUAUCGAUAGGUACAAGAAAGCAUGUGCUGCCUCCACAAAUGCAGAAUCUGUCUCUGAAGCUAAUACACAGUUUUAUCAGCAGGAAGCGUCCAAAUUUAAAAGACAAAUCAGAGACAUUCAGAAUCUAAACAGGCACAUCCUUGGUGAAGCUCUUAGCUCUCUUAGUCUAAAGGAAUUAAAGAACCUGGAGAGUAGACUGGAGAAAGGUUUAAGCAGAGUUAGAUCCAGAAAGCAUGAAACUUUGUUUGCCGAUAUCGAGUUCAUGCAAAAGCGGCCGUUUUCUUGGUGGGUAGUCCAAUGAAGGUCUUAGCCGCUCUGUCUUGCUACUUUUCAAAAACUCAUUCAACACUCCUUCCAUACUAGAAACCUGGAUAAACGGAUCUUAACCUUAGCUUACUUAAUCUUCAAGGUCAGUCUUAUCCCAACUGCACCAUCUUCAGCCUAAGCCACCUUCAACAACUUGAUCUAAGCUCCAAUUACUUCUUUGGUGACAUUUCCUCCACAAUCUCUCACUUGUCCAAAUUACAGUCACUUGACCUCAGUUUCAACUCCGUGAGAAUGAGACUUGAUUCAUACUCAUGGAACAAACUCAUUCAAAAUGCUACUAAUUUAGCAGAGCUUCAUUUAGGUGGUGUGGACAUGUCUUUUAUCGAAGAUAGCUCAAUGUCAUUGCUAACCUAUUUGUCUUCCUCUCUCGUCUCUCUUAUUAUCUCACAGACACCAAAUUAGAUGGGAAGUUGCCAACUGAAAGCCUCUUACCCAAUCUUAUAAGACUGUAUUUGAAUACAAAUGAAAAGCUGAGAGUUGAACUUUCAACGUCCAACUGGAAUACUACUAAGGCUCUUGGAUCUCUCUUAUAUUGCUUUCUCAGGAAACAUUCCCGAUUCCAUUGGCCAUUUGAAGUCUCGAACUAUUUCUGAGUAGUUGCAAUUUUGAUGGAAUGGUUCCCUCAUCAUUGUUUAAUCUAACUCAACUCUCCAUUUUAGAUCUUAGCAACAACUCACGAACCAAUUGGUGAAUUCUCAUCUUAUUCUUUCAAAUACUUGUCACUCUCCAAGAACAAAUUGCAAGGUAAUUUUCCAAAUUUAAUAUUUGAACUCCAAAAUCUUGUUGUUUUGAGUUUGUCACCAAUUGACUUGGAUAAACUAUUUCCUUCUCCUAUGAUUUGUCAUUUUCAUUCUUCGUUAACUAAGCACACCUUCAACAAGUCUCGCGAGCCAUUGUGGUUUCCCAUUCAUGAAAACAUUAUAUCCCAAAAGCAUUCCAAAUAGCAACCCACAUGCAUGUCCCACUGGUAUAGCUUUCCAGCCAAAUCUCGAUUCUUCAUGGUGAAAUGUUGAAUGUGGCUGUCAAUCUUCAUCCUUAUUGUAGGAUUUUGACAAAGACAGUCCACAUAGCAUUGCAUGCAUAUGAAUCAUUUCCAAAUGUGUUAAACUGUGCACCUUUAGGUAUGAUACCCUCAAACUGGUUUUGUAAAAGGUAACAUAACCAGAAAAUUCAAAUUGAUCAAAGCCAUAGGAAUCUCUCCUUUCAACUGGUUCCACGAGUUUGGAAUGAUACCAGUGAUUGCAUUGUGCGAAAGGUUAAGCCCUUUGAGAGAAUGCAAUUCUCCAAUGACUUUCGGAAGUUUUCCUUCAAACAUGUUAUUUGAUAAAUCAAUGGUUGUGAAAAUAGUUAAUACCCUCUCGAGCUCCAUACAUUGACCUUUCAUUACAACCGCUACUGAAUCAUUAUAGAAAUCUUGGUCACCCAUAUAUUUCAAACCAGUUUGGUUGUCAUUCACACUCACAUGCCUUGAAAGUUCUUGAUGUAUGAUGUUGGCAAAGGCCCACUAGAAUUGUUAUCUGAGGAUAAAAAAUUUCUCAGCCUGGGAAAUGGAUGCUUGGCACCGAAACUAGUGAUGACACCAUGAAACUUAUUUGAUCACAAACUGGUUUGAAAUAUAUGGGUGAUCAAGAUUUCUAUAUUGAUUCAGUAAUGGUUGUAAUGAAAGGUCAAUACAUGGAGCUCGAGAGGGUGUUAACUAUUUUCACAGCAUUGAUUUAUCAAAUAAUAUGUUUGAAGGAGAACAUCUGAAAGUCAUUGGAGAAUUGCAUUCUCUCAAAGGGCUUAACCUUUCGCACAAUGCAAUCACUGGUAUCAUUCCACGAUCCUUUGGUAAUUUAAGAAAUUUGGAAUAGUUGGACCUCUCGUGGAAUCAGUGGGUUGCUAUUUGGAAUACUUUUGGGAUAUAAUGUUUUCAUGAAUGGGAAACCACAAUGGUUGCGAGACUUGUUGAAGGUGUGCUUAAUUAACAAAGAGUGAAAAUGACAAAUCAUAGGGGAAGGAAAUAACUAUAAGCUUAUCAUAUUUAAUAGGUGUACUUUAAUUGAUUAAGUUUAUCCAUUUUUGAACUUUGAGAAUUGAUGAAAGUUCAGAUGAUCACUCAAGUCAAUAGAUGACAAACUCAAAACAGCAAGAUUUUGGAGUUCAAAUAUUGAAUUUGGAAAAUUAUCUUACAGUUUGUUCUUAGAGAGUGUGACAAGUAUUUGAAAGAAUAAGAUGAGAAUUCACCAAUUGGUCCCAUGAGCUGGUUGUUGCUAAGAUCUAAAAUGGAGAGUUAAGUUAGAUUAAACAAUGAUGAGGGAACCAUUCCAUCAAAAUUGCAAAUAAUCGGAAAUAGUUCGUUAAGAGACUUCAAAUGGCCAAUGGAAGAAAGCGGAAUAAGAGAGAUUCGAGAGUCUUAGUGGAGUAUUCUAGUUGGACUUUGGAAGUUCACCUGGAGACAGAUUGGUUAGCAAUGACAAAGAGUUUUCUCUGAUAGAAGACAUGUCCACACCACCUAAAUGAAGCUCUACUAAAUUAUUAGCAUUUUGAAUGAGUUUGUUCCAUGUGUAUGGAUCAAGUCUCAUUAUGGAGUUGAAACUGAGAUCAAGUGACUAUAAUUUGGACAAGUGAGAGAUUGUGGAGGGAAUGUCACCAAAAAAGUAAUUGGAGCUUAUGUCGAGUUGUUGAAGGUGGCUUACGCUGAAGAUGGUGCAGUUGGGAUGGAGUUGACCUUGAAGAUUAAGUAAGCUAAGAUCAAGAUCAAUGACGUGACCUGAGAUGGUGUCACACGUGACUCCAUCCCAUUCACAACAAUUUGUGUUGUUUAUCUAGGUUUCUAGUAUGGAAGGAGUGUUGAAUGAGUUUUUGAAAAGUAGCAAGACAGAGCUGUCAUGUUGGUUGCAGAAAGAGGAAGAAGAAGAAGCUAAUAUGAAGUAUGAGAGUAGAACCCAGCAAAGAAUGUGAUUGAUAUUCAUCCUUUAAACUGAAGAACAAAAAUAGAGAGGAUUUCAUAUGGAUACAACCAAUGCAAUUCACUCAAUAUUAGAUGUAUACAUGAAUUAUAUUUGUUAGGUUAUCCCAUGUAUUGAUGUCCUUUUUCUUUAACGAAUAUUAUCUUUUAAAAGAUAGUAUCUGGAAAGGAAAAUUGUCAAGCAAAUAGUUAGUUGAUUUGUUACAGUAUGUUAUCGCUGUUAUGUUUGGUUUGUACGUUCUGUUAUUGCUGUUAAGUUUGGUUAAGCUAAUUGCAGUUUGUUACGGUUAAUAUAGUCUAAUCUCAUUUGGUUAA
This is an RNA transcript of Glycine soja, 4560 nucleotides long. It is a transcript of the gene named agamous-like MADS-box protein AGL5, with no coding region annotated. The record is from RefSeq and is a predicted model, not a curated record. Lineage: Eukaryota; Viridiplantae; Streptophyta; Magnoliopsida; Fabales; Fabaceae. The transcript is spliced from 11 exons.